GACCUUGUGGCGCAAUGGAAGCGCGUCGGCUUCCGCCGAAAACUUUCCGGAGCCGAAGGGCUCAAGUCUCGCCAGAGUUA
RNAcentral lists this transfer RNA (80 nucleotides) under Perkinsus olseni. RNAcentral's name for it is "tRNA-Arg". The record is from RNAcentral. Lineage: Eukaryota; Perkinsozoa; Perkinsida; Perkinsidae.